Molecule: ribosomal RNA, 253 nt
Filed under: uncultured bacterium
Lineage: Bacteria
Description: partial 16S ribosomal RNA
Rfam family: Bacterial small subunit ribosomal RNA
Source: RNAcentral
UACGAAGGGGGCUAGCGUUGUUCGGAAUCACUGGGCGUAAAGGGCGCGUAGGCGGCUUUAUAAGUCGGGGGUGAAAUCCCGGGGCUCAACCUCGGAACUGCCUUUGAUACUGCAAAUCUCGAGUCCGAUAGAGGUGGGUGGAAUUCCUAGUGUAGAGGUGAAAUUCGUAGAUAUUAGGAAGAACACCGGUGGCGAAGGCGGCCCACUGGAUCGGUACUGACGCUGAGGUGCGAAAGCGUGGGGAGCAAACAGG